Long non-coding RNA from Oncorhynchus keta (chum salmon), 377 nucleotides. RefSeq lists it as uncharacterized. Lineage: Eukaryota; Metazoa; Chordata; Actinopteri; Salmoniformes; Salmonidae. The record is from RefSeq and is a predicted model, not a curated record. The transcript has 3 exons.
AGGGAACCGAGGUAACAUUCAUACAUCAUCACUUCAUGUUUCCCAGGGAACCGAGGUAACAUUCAUACAUCAUCACUUCAUGUUUCCCAGGGAACCGAGGUAACAUUCAUACAUCAUCACUUCAUGUUUCCCAGGGAACCGAGGUAACAUUCAUACAUCAUCACUUCAUGUUUCCCAGGGAACCGACAUACAUCAUCACUUCAUGUUUCCCAGGGAACCGACAUACAUCAUCACUUCAUGUUUCCCAGGGAACCGACAUACAUCAUCACUUCAUGUUUCCCAGGGAACCGACGUAACAUUCAUACAUCAUCACUUCAUGUUUCCCAGGGAACCGACAUACAUCAUCACUUCAUGUUUCCCAGGGAACCGACGUAACA